RNAcentral lists this ribosomal RNA (397 nucleotides) under Bacillus sp. DB2-29. RNAcentral describes it as "bacterial SSU rRNA". It matches the Rfam family "Bacterial small subunit ribosomal RNA", at positions 72 to 461 of the family's 1533-position model. The record is from RNAcentral. Lineage: Bacteria; Bacillati; Bacillota; Bacilli; Caryophanales; Bacillaceae.
AAGGGAGCUUGCUCCCGGAUGUUAGCGGCGGACGGGUGAGUAACACGUGGGUAACCUGCCUGUAAGACUGGGAUAACUCCGGGAAACCGGAGCUAAUACCGGAUAGUUCCUUGAACCGCAUGGUUCAAGGAUGAAAGACGGUUUCGGCUGUCACUUACAGAUGGACCCGCGGCGCAUUAGCUAGUUGGUGAGGUAACGGCUCACCAAGGCGACGAUGCGUAGCCGACCUGAGAGGGUGAUCGGCCACACUGGGACUGAGACACGGCCCAGACUCCUACGGGAGGCAGCAGUAGGGAAUCUUCCGCAAUGGACGAAAGUCUGACGGAGCAACGCCGCGUGAGUGAUGAAGGUUUUCGGAUCGUAAAGCUCUGUUGUUAGGGAAGAACAAGUGCAAGAG